Molecule: ribosomal RNA, 440 nt
Filed under: uncultured bacterium
Lineage: Bacteria
Description: partial 16S ribosomal RNA
Rfam family: Bacterial small subunit ribosomal RNA
Source: RNAcentral
CCUACGGGUGGCAGCAGUGGGGAAUAUUGCACAAUGGGGGAAACCCUGAUGCAGCGACGCCGCGUGAGUGAAGAAGUAUUUCGGUAUGUAAAGCUCUAUCAGCAGGGAAGAAAAUGACGGUACCUGAGUAAGAAGCCGCGGCUAACUACGUGCCAGCAGCCGCGGUAAUACGUAGGGGGCAAGCGUUAUCCGGAUUUACUGGGUGUAAAGGGAGCGUAGACGGCGGAGUAAGUCUGAAGUGAAAGCCGGGGGCUCAACCCCCGAACUGCUCUGGAAACUGUUUGGCUGGAGGACAGGAGAGGUAAGCGGAAUUCCUGGGGUAGCGGUGAAAUGCGUAGAUAUUAGGAGGAACACUAGUGGCGAAGGCGGGUUACUGGACUGUAACUGACGUUGAGGCUCGAAGGCGAGGGGAGCAAAAAGGAUUAGAUACCCGUGUAGUC